UCUCUCUAUAUGAAUCAGAAAAAUGAUCGCUGUUUUGAAAAUAGACUGAAAAGAAAUAACAGUGGCUGAGAAGAGAGAUGGAUACAUAUCAAAGUAGGAAAGGAGAUGCGAGAAUGAGAUUAUGCUUCACCUUGUGAGGAAUGAGAGAAGGAAAAAGGACCAAAAAAUCCAAUAAAGAAUAUCAGAUAGACUAUCAUUCUAGAAUCACCCUAGAAGCAUUUAUAGGUAUCCAACAAAGGAGUUUUGAAGGAAACCGCUUCAAGCUAAAUGGAUUCGGUACAACAGAAAGCUCUUUAUACAGUAUCACUUUCACGGACAACUACAAAUAAAUCUCAUAUCAAUCAGA
Suricata suricatta (meerkat) is the source of this 346-nucleotide long non-coding RNA. RefSeq lists it as uncharacterized. The transcript is spliced from 2 exons. The record is from RefSeq and is a predicted model, not a curated record. Lineage: Eukaryota; Metazoa; Chordata; Mammalia; Carnivora; Herpestidae.